Molecule: long non-coding RNA, 1464 nt
Organism: Neofelis nebulosa (Clouded leopard)
Lineage: Eukaryota; Metazoa; Chordata; Mammalia; Carnivora; Felidae
Exons: 4
Source: RefSeq, a predicted model, not a curated record
ACAGGCUGAUUCUUAGUACCUGUGCCUUUUUGGGGAGAAUCAUGACAUUGGACUUGAACUAUGGAGGGUAAACUGACCUAUAUGUCUACUAUCCAAGCUCUCAGUUUCUCACUUUCAAAUACUGGAUUUCAAGACAUAUCAACCAGGCUUCAACGUACGGUGAGAUUUGAGCAAUCCAGGAAUAUGUUGAGGACAUAAAUUAUGCCAUUCAUCUGACUCGCUCAAAACUUUCAUGGCUGCCAUCCCGCAUGGAACCAAAUCUAGAAUCAUUACCAUGGCCGGAGUCACUCUCAUGAAAUUGCCUCCCACCACCCACUGAGGCCCAGAAGUCGGCUAGGGCAACCCCUGGACUCUGUAGGCAGGGCUAUGAACUCUAGAUUCAGUUGCCAACUGAAAAUCCUGGCUCCCUACUUACCUGCCUCCAAACUCCUCCAUUGCCUCAGUCUCCUCACCUCUAAAACGAUAGAUGUUUCAACUUACCGUGUUUCCAAGAACUAAAUGGGACAACAGUCACAAAGAACAUAGGAGAAUACUUACCAGAGAGUUAUAAACUCAUCAAAAAUAAGUGCGAAGUUCUUCAACUUCUCUAACAUUUGUCACCGAUGAGUUGGGGAUCAAUUAUUCUUAUGAGCUUUUCAAAUUGGACUGUUGGAAAAGUUCAGUGAAGUGGAACUGAUUACUGCCAACAUUACAUUUAAUGAGACUAUAUAGUUGCAUAUUCGAAACCUGUAAAUGACUUCUUCCUGAGAAUUCUGACUUGCAUAGCCUUGUCCGAAGUUCCUCCUUCUUGGGUGAGCUAUCCUGAAGCUUUAUAUACCUCUGAUCUGUAACAAGUAAUUCUGUCUGAAGAAAGAAUACUUUGCUCAGAGAAGAGAGAGCCACUUUAACAGCAAGAAAGUCCAAAUGCAAGUUGAGUAUUUUUAGUUGAUGAUGGAGAUACCAUCCAGGCUCAAACACUGCAGCAACCAUUUGGGGCCAUACGAAAGACGUGUAAAUGGAGGAAAUUUGUCAGAAGAGACUAUUGCCAACAAUCAGUAUUUAUGAAGCAUCUACAAUUGGCCUUAUUUAGACACUCAACUGGAAUAACAAAAAAUAUUGACAGAUCUCUGUCUUCAUGGGGAUUUCAGUAGGGAGAGGGAGACAAACAUAAAUUGUGCAUGGCAACCAUUUAUUAUUUUUUAAAUGGAGCGAGGUAAUAUUUAUCAAGUGCUCACUACAUACGAAGCCUUGACUUGGUAUUUUGGAUACAAAGGCAAAUUAAGAUGCAGUCCCUUUUGUCAAGGACUUAGCCAUUUAACAGAGGAGAUAAACAACAGGGAGACAACUGCCAUUCUAUGAGUAUGGGUCUAAUUUUUUCUCAAAUGCUCAUUAUGUACCGGAGACCCUGCUAAGUCUUUACAGAAGGGUUCUCAUCAUUUGUGUGCUCUUGCUACUUUGCUGUAUGUACCUACAAUUAGACUCGGA